UUAAGUUCAGCGGGUAUUCCUACCUGAUCCGAGGUCAACCAUAGAAAAUAGGGGGUGUUUUAUGGCGAGGGCCGGGCCAACUACAAAGAAGCGAGGUGUAAAGAUUUACUACGCCUAGAGUAUGACCUAACUCUGCCAGCUAACUCUGAGGAGCUGCGUUUUACGGCAGUCUCCCGACACUAAGCAACUAGGGCUUAAGG
This 200-nucleotide unclassified non-coding RNA is filed under the name Xylariaceae sp. RNAcentral describes it as "partial internal transcribed spacer 2". The record is from RNAcentral. Lineage: Eukaryota; Fungi; Ascomycota; Sordariomycetes; Xylariales; Xylariaceae.